RNAcentral lists this small RNA (148 nucleotides) under Macaca fascicularis (crab-eating macaque). Its description in RNAcentral is "Metazoan signal recognition particle RNA (ENSMFAG00000047903.1)". Lineage: Eukaryota; Metazoa; Chordata; Mammalia; Primates; Cercopithecidae. The record is from Rfam by way of RNAcentral.
GCCAGGCAUGGUGGUGCGUGCCUGUAAUCCUAGCUACUUGGGAGGCUGAGGUGGGAGAAUUGCUUGAGCCUGGGAGGCAGAGGUUGCAGUGAGCUGAGAUUACGCCACUACACUCCAGCCUGGGCGACAGAGUGAAAUUCCAUCUCAA